UAUUGCCGUGUGUCCUGUCAGAUAAACCCCCGCCUUCACGCACUUCGUCGUGGGAGGACAAGGAGACUGCUGGUCCUAGCCUAGUUCAGUACAGUAUAUGUUGUGAGCGUGCUUCAGAUCUCCGGAGAUAGCACAGUACGCUGUGUCCAGCCCAGAGGUGAAAGCCAUCCAAAGCAGAGUAACUGUGCUUUGCGUCCAAGUUGAUACCUGUGGAGAGGAAAGGAAAGAGAGAUUGAUGCCUGUGGAGAGAAAAGGAGAGAGAGUGGGUAACACGAGGAGAGACCGAGGAAACCUGUACUUACGCC
Long non-coding RNA from Cyprinus carpio carpio, 305 nucleotides. Lineage: Eukaryota; Metazoa; Chordata; Actinopteri; Cypriniformes; Cyprinidae. The record is from Ensembl.